GCACUGCUAUGGAGUCCCACAAUAGGACGAAACGGUCGUCCAGUGC
Non-coding RNA from Schistosoma rodhaini, 46 nucleotides. The record is from Rfam. Lineage: Eukaryota; Metazoa; Platyhelminthes; Trematoda; Strigeidida; Schistosomatidae.